GACGAACGCUGGCGGCGUGCUUAACACAUGCAAGUCGAACGGAAAGGCCCUGCUUGCAGGGUACUCGAGUGGCGAACGGGUGAGUAACACGUGGGUGAUCUGCCCUGCACUUCGGGAUAAGCCUGGGAAACUGGGUCUAAUACCGGAUAGGAGCCAUUUUUAGUGUGAUGGUUGGAAAGUUUUUUCGGUGUAGGAUGAGCUCGCGGCCUAUCAGCUUGUUGGUGGGGUAAUGGCCUACCAAGGCGGCGACGGGUAGCCGGCCUGAGAGGGUGGACGGCCACAUUGGGCCUGCGAUACGGCCCAGACUCCUACGGGGGGCAGCAGUGGGGAAUAUUGCACAAUGGGCGCAAGCCUGAUGCAGCGACGCCGCGUUGGGGAUGACCUCCUUCGGGUUGUAAACUCCUUUCGCUAGGGACGAAGCUUUUGUGACGGUACCUAGAUAAGAAGCACCGGCUAACUACGUG
Molecule: ribosomal RNA, 464 nt
Filed under: uncultured bacterium
Lineage: Bacteria
Description: partial 16S ribosomal RNA
Rfam family: Bacterial small subunit ribosomal RNA
Source: RNAcentral